GGCGGGUGGUAAACCCAAGCGCUUAACCUAUCCCCGACCGCCUUGGGGAAGAUCGCAGGUUCGAAUCCUGCCCCCGCUACCA
RNAcentral lists this transfer RNA (82 nucleotides) under Dehalococcoidia bacterium. Its description in RNAcentral is "tRNA-Ser". Lineage: Bacteria; Bacillati; Chloroflexota; Dehalococcoidia. The record is from RNAcentral. RNAcentral also lists the same sequence under 1 other name.